RNAcentral lists this long non-coding RNA (221 nucleotides) under Panax ginseng (ginseng). RNAcentral's name for it is "long non-coding RNA (PGIN_LNC010237)". Lineage: Eukaryota; Viridiplantae; Streptophyta; Magnoliopsida; Apiales; Araliaceae. The record is from RNAcentral.
UAAUGGAUUGUUGUUUCCACUGCAUUUGUUGAUCUAAAACUUGUUGUCUAUUGUAUUCUAUUAGAUUUUUUCCCUGUUGAAGACUAACGAUAAUUUGUUGUAUAUUAUCUUAGUCAUAAUAUUCUUUACUGGGCUAGUUGAGCUCACCCUUUUCCUUGUUGUUCAAUUUUCUUCUCAGGAGGUGAGAACAUAGCAGGAUCGAGUCGGGGUAUGGAAUGAAG